This 408-nucleotide ribosomal RNA is filed under the name uncultured bacterium. RNAcentral describes it as "bacterial SSU rRNA". It matches the Rfam family "Bacterial small subunit ribosomal RNA", at positions 366 to 766 of the family's 1533-position model. The record is from RNAcentral.
GGACAAUGGGCGCAAGCCUGAUCCAGCCAUGCCGCGUGAGUGAAGAAGGCCUUCGGGUUGUAAAGCUCUUUCGGACGGGAAGAAAUGGCGGGCUCUGACAUAGCCCGUCGAUGACGGUACCGUAAGAAGAAGCACCCGCUAACUACGUGCCAGCAGCCGCGGUAAUACGUAGGGUGCGAGCGUUAAUCGGAAUUACUGGGCGUAAAGCGUGCGCAGGCGGUUUUGUAAGACAGAUGUUAAAUCCCUGGGCUUAAUCUGGGAACUGCGGUUGGGACUGCAAGGCUGGAGUACGGCAGAGGUGGGUGGAAGUCCACGUGUAGCGGUGAAAUGCGUAGAGAUGUGGAGGAAGACCGAUGGCGAAGGCAGUCCCCUUGGCCUGUACUGACGCUCAUGCACGAAAGCGUGGGG